RNAcentral lists this long non-coding RNA (411 nucleotides) under Elaeis guineensis (African oil palm). RNAcentral's name for it is "long non-coding RNA (EGUI_LNC060078)". Lineage: Eukaryota; Viridiplantae; Streptophyta; Magnoliopsida; Arecales; Arecaceae. The record is from RNAcentral.
UUGGAUGCCUUGGGUGCUGAUGCUACAGGCAGGAGUCAUCUGCUGUAGAAGCUCGGAUGGAGAUUUUCUAUUAGUGAAGUCUGGUAGGAGUCCGAUUGCUAGAGAAGUCUUUCUGGAAUUUGCCUGAUGUGGAAGCUCGUCUGAAGAUUAUCCAUCGGAGAAGUCCGAUCUCAUGAAGAAUCUGGCGGAGGGUCGGCCGGCGGUGGACUUCGGAUGGCAUUGGGGAGGUUCGUCCGCUGGAGGAGUCCGGGAAUCCUGUGGAAGUCUGGAUGGUGUUGUGGAAGUCUGGCUGACGCUAUUGAAGGCUGAUGGCUGGGGAGGUUUGGCAGACACCGAAGGCGAUCGAUCGUUGUAGAAAUUCAGCUACUGGAGUCCGUCCGUUGUAGAAGCUCGUCCGAUAUCCAUCCGUUA